GAUGAACGCUGGCGGCGUGCCUAAUACAUGCCAGUCGAGCGAACGGACGAGAAGCUUGCUUUUCUGAUGUUAGCGGCGGACGGGUGAGUAACACGUGGAUAACCUACCUAUAAGACUGGGAUAACUUCGGGAAACCGGAGCUAAUACCGGAUAAUAUUUUGAACCGCAUGGUUCAAAAGUGAAAGACGGUCUUGCUGUCACUUAUAGAUGGAUCCGCGCUGCAUUAGCUAGUUGGUAAGGUAACGGCUUACCAAGGCAACGAUGCAUAGCCGACCUGAGAGGGUGAUCGGCCACACUGGAACUGAGACACGGUCCAGACUCCUACGGGAGGCAGCAGUAGGGAAUCUUCCGCAAUGGGCGAAAGCCUGACGGAGCAACGCCGCGUGAGUGAUGAAGGUCUUCGGUUCGUAAAACUCUGUUAUUAGGGAAGAACAUAUGUGUAAGUAACUGUGCACAUCUUGACGGUACCUAAUCAGAAAGCCACGGCUAACUACGUG
This 497-nucleotide ribosomal RNA is filed under the name uncultured bacterium. RNAcentral's name for it is "partial 16S ribosomal RNA". It matches the Rfam family "Bacterial small subunit ribosomal RNA", at positions 28 to 507 of the family's 1533-position model. The record is from RNAcentral.